AAGAUGUUAGUAAAAUAUUACAAGGCCUUGUCAAGACCUAAUUACUAGUUAAAACCUUGUACAUCUUA
Molecule: transfer RNA, 68 nt
Filed under: Ommatotriton vittatus (southern banded newt)
Lineage: Eukaryota; Metazoa; Chordata; Amphibia; Caudata; Salamandridae
Description: tRNA-Asp
Source: RNAcentral